UGACAGUACUCCUACGGGGAGGCAGCAGUGGGGGAAUAUUGCACAAUGGGCGCAAGCCUGAUGCAGCCAUGCCGCGUGUGUGAAGAAGGCCUUCGGGUUGUAAAGCACUUUCAGUCGUGAGGAAGGUAGUGUAGUUAAUAGCUGCAUUAUUUGACGUUAGCGACAGAAGAAGCACCGGCUAACUCCGUGCCAGCAGCCGCGGUAAUACGGAGGGUGCGAGCGUUAAUCGGAAUUACUGGGCGUAAAGCGCAUGCAGGUGGUUUGUUAAGUCAGAUGUGAAAGCCCGGGGCUCAACCUCGGAAUAGCAUUUGUAAACUGGCAGACUAGAGUACUGUAGAGGGGGGUAGGAAUUUCAGGUGUAGCGGUGAAAUGCGUAGAGAUCUGAAGGAAUACCGGUGGCGAAGGCGGCCCCCUGGACAGAUACUGACACUCAGAUGCGAAAGCGUGGGGAGCAAACAGGAUUAGAUACCCUGGUAG
Molecule: ribosomal RNA, 477 nt
Filed under: uncultured bacterium
Lineage: Bacteria
Description: bacterial SSU rRNA
Rfam family: Bacterial small subunit ribosomal RNA
Source: RNAcentral